CCUACGGGUGGCAGCAGUGAGGAAUAUUGGUCAAUGGACGCAAGCCUGACCCAGCAACGCCGCGUGAAGGAAGAAGGCUUUCGGGUUGUAAACUUCUUUUAAGGGGGAAGAGCAGAAGACGGUACCCCUUGAAUAAGCCACGGCUAACUACGUGCCAGCAGCCGCGGUAAUACGUAGGUGGCAAGCGUUGUCCGGAUUUACUGGGUGUAAAGGGCGUGCAGCCGGAGAGACAAGUCAGAUGUGAAAUCCACGGGCUCAACCCGUGAACUGCAUUUGAAACUGUUUCCCUUGAGUGUCGGAGAGGUAAUCGGAAUUCCUUGUGUAGCGGUGAAAUGCGUAGAUAUAAGGAAGAACACCAGUGGCGAAGGCGGAUUACUGGACGAUAACUGACGGUGAGGCGCGAAAGCGUGGGGAGCAAACAGGAUUAGAUACCCCUGUAGUC
Molecule: ribosomal RNA, 442 nt
Filed under: uncultured bacterium
Lineage: Bacteria
Description: partial 16S ribosomal RNA
Rfam family: Bacterial small subunit ribosomal RNA
Source: RNAcentral